This 535-nucleotide ribosomal RNA is filed under the name Rhizomucor pusillus. Its description in RNAcentral is "partial large subunit ribosomal RNA". It matches the Rfam family "Eukaryotic large subunit ribosomal RNA", at positions 98 to 653 of the family's 3401-position model. The record is from RNAcentral. Lineage: Eukaryota; Fungi; Mucoromycota; Mucoromycetes; Mucorales; Lichtheimiaceae.
GUGGGUAAAGCUCAAGUUUAAAACCUGUUUGUCCUAGACAAACCGGAUUGUAAACUAAGGACGUGCUAUCCAGGCUCUUUGGACCUUCAAGUCCUUUGGAAUAAGGCUUCACAGAGGGUGACAAUCCCGUAGAGGGUCUUGAAAGAGUCUAUUGCGAUGCAUGCUCCAAGAGUCAGGUUGUUUGGGAAUGCAGCCUAAAGUGGGAGGUAAAUCCCUCCUAAAGCUAAAUAUUGGCGAGAGACCGAUAGCAAACAAGUACCGUGAGGGAAAGUUGAAAAGGACUUUGAAAAGAGAGUCAAAAGUACGUGAAAUUGCUUAAAGGGAAGCGUUUGGAGCUAGUUUGGCUAGUCUGUUAUCAGCCUGAGCUUCGGCUUUGGUGUACUAUCAGGCUAUUUGCCGGCCAACUUUCAGGAUUGGAAGGAAAGCUUAGUGCUUUGGAGUCUAAAGAGACCUUUGCGGAAGCCUCUGGUGGAGCGUUGGUCUGCCUUGGCCCUUCUGAACCUAUAGUUGGCUUAAUGGCUCUAAACGGCCCGUC